This 859-nucleotide ribosomal RNA is filed under the name Aphelenchoides sp. 3 GVDU-2019. RNAcentral's name for it is "SSU rRNA". It matches the Rfam family "Eukaryotic small subunit ribosomal RNA", at positions 102 to 976 of the family's 1831-position model. The record is from RNAcentral. Lineage: Eukaryota; Metazoa; Nematoda; Chromadorea; Rhabditida; Aphelenchoididae.
UACAACAGUUAUAAUCUACUCGAAAUAGAAAUCCUAAACGGAUAUCUGCGAUAAUUUUGGAGCUAAUACGUGCACCAAGACUCGAUUCUCUGAAUCGAGUGCACUUAUUAGAUGAAGACCAAUCGGGGCAACCCGACAUGGUGACUCUGAAUAAUUUCGCUGAUCGCAUGGUCUCGUACCGGCGACGUAUCGUUCGAGUAUCUGCCUUAUCAACUUUCGAUGGAAGUCCAUGUGACUGCCAUGGUUGUGACGGGUAACGGAGAAUCAGGGUUCGACUCCGGAGAGGGAGCCUGAGAAACGGCUACCACAUCCAAGGAAGGCAGCAGGCGCGCAAAUUACCCACUCUCAAUUCGAGGAGGUAGUGACUAUCAAUAACGAGACAGAUCUCUUUGAGGCCUGUUAUCGGAAUGGGUACAAUUUAAACCCUUUAACGAGGAUCUAUGAGAGGGCAAGUCUGGUGCCAGCAGCCGCGGUAAUUCCAGCUCUCAAAGUGUAUAUCGUCAUUGCUGCGGUUAAAAAGCUCGUAGUUGGAUCUGAGUCUUUGAACGCGGUACUCCCUGUGAGUAACUGCGCUUCUAGACUGUGUUGUCGGUUUUCCUCGGUUUGCCUUCACCGGUAGGCCUUGGUGGCUGGCGUGUUUACCUUGAAUAAAUUAGAGUGCUCAAGACAAGCGUCUCGCUUGAAUAUCCGUGCAUGGAAUAAUGGAACAGGACUUCGGUUCAUUCUGUUGGUCUUGGAACCGAUGUAAUGGUUAAGAGGGAUUGACGGGGGCAUCCGUAUCGCUGCGUGAGAGGUGAAAUUCUUGGACCGCAGCGGGACGUCCAACUGCGAAAGCAUUUGCCAAGAAUGUCUUCAUUAA